CGGACCUUGUACACACCGCCCGUCACACCACGAAAGCCGUCCGCACCCGAAAUUAUCUAAGCUAACCUGUAAGGGAGGCGGGUAAUGAGGUGAAGAGGGUGAUUGGGGUG
RNAcentral lists this ribosomal RNA (110 nucleotides) under uncultured bacterium. RNAcentral's name for it is "partial 16S ribosomal RNA". It matches the Rfam family "Bacterial small subunit ribosomal RNA", at positions 1375 to 1482 of the family's 1533-position model. The record is from RNAcentral.